Molecule: ribosomal RNA, 328 nt
Filed under: uncultured eukaryote
Lineage: Eukaryota
Description: partial 18S ribosomal RNA
Rfam family: Eukaryotic small subunit ribosomal RNA
Source: RNAcentral
CCCUUAGAUGUUCUGGGCUGCACACGCGCUACACUGAAGGGAUCAGCGUGUUCUUUUCCUGGUCCGAAAGGAUCGGGUAACCCGCUGAACCCCCUUCGUGGUAGGGAUCGGAGCUUGCAAUUAUUCUCCGUGAACCAGGAAUUCCCAGUAAGCGCAAGUCAUAAGCUUGCGUUGAUUACGUCCCUGCCCUUUGUACACACCGCCCGUCGCUACUACCGAUUGGACGUUUUAGUGAGGAUUUUGGACUGAGCCAAUGGUGGUUCACACCACUGUUGUGCAUGGAAAGAUCUCCAAACUUGAGCGUCUAGAGGAAGUAAAAGUCGUAACA